UACGUAGGCAGCGAGCGUUGUUCGGAAUUACUGGGCGUAAAGAGUGUGUAGGCGGUGCUCUAAGUUCGGUGUGAAAUCUCCUGGCUUAACUGGGAGGGUGCGCCGGAAACUGGGUGGCUAGAGUGCGGGAGAGGAGAGUGGAAUUCCUGGUGUAGCGGUGGAAUGCGCAGAUAUCAGGAAGAACACCCGUGGCGAAGGCGGCUCUCUGGAACGCAACUGACGCUGAGACGCGAAAGCGUGGGGAGCAAACAGG
Molecule: ribosomal RNA, 253 nt
Filed under: uncultured bacterium
Lineage: Bacteria
Description: partial 16S ribosomal RNA
Rfam family: Bacterial small subunit ribosomal RNA
Source: RNAcentral